UGCUAUUUGAAUGCGUAUGCAUGCUAAAGUAUAUGAUUACAUAUAUCUAAGGUCAAAUAGUUAUGUGUAACGUUUAACAGGUAUAGGUUAUAAUGAAAAACAUGUGGAAAUUGAAUGCAGUUACUUUCUUACAAGAUAUAUCUGGAAGUAUGUUUAAGCAUUUAUUCAGACAUUGAAGAGGAAAUUACAACCAAAAAAUUAUGGAGAAGGAAAGUUGAACAGUUACAUUAAAGAAAUAAAACAAUGCGGAAUGAAAUACUAGGAGAAAUGAGAAAAACGUACUCUGAAAACAGAUGCAAUUACUUUCUCGCAGGAUAUAUGAGGAAAUAUGUUUAAGCAUUUAUUCAGACAUUGAUUGAUGAGGAAAUUAUAACAAUCAAUUUCUGGAGUAGAAAAAUUUGAUAGAUACAGUGAACAAAUUUUCCAAAGAAGAGGAUUAUUAAAUUAGAUAAGUUUGUCUUGUAAAUCAUAAUGUCAGAAUAUUUUAAAUAAAUAAAUUAA
Osmia lignaria (orchard mason bee) is the source of this 501-nucleotide long non-coding RNA. RefSeq lists it as uncharacterized. The record is from RefSeq and is a predicted model, not a curated record. Lineage: Eukaryota; Metazoa; Arthropoda; Insecta; Hymenoptera; Megachilidae.